AGUGAACGCUGGCGGUAGGCCUAACACAUGCAAGUCGAACGGCAGCACAGUAAGAGCUUGCUCUUACGGGUGGCGAGUGGCGGACGGGUGAGGAAUACAUCGGAAUCUACUUUUUCGUGGGGGAUAACGUAGGGAAACUUACGCUAAUACCGCAUACGACCUACGGGUGAAAGCAGGGGAUCUUCGGACCUUGCGCGAUUGAAUGAGCCGAUGUCGGAUUAGCUAGUUGGCGGGGUAAAGGCCCACCAAGGCGACGAACCGUAGCUGGUCUGAGAGGAUGGUCAGCCACACUGGAACUGAGACACGGUCCAGACUCCUACGGGAGGCAGCAGUGGGGAAUAUUGGACAAUGGGCGCAAGCCUGAUCCAGCCAUACCGCGUGGGUGAAGAAGGCCUUCGGGUUGUAAAGCCCUUUUGUUGGGAAGGAAAAGCAGCAGGUUAAUACCCCGCUGUUCUGACGGUACCCAAAGAAUAAGCACCGGCUAACUUCGUG
This 492-nucleotide ribosomal RNA is filed under the name uncultured bacterium. RNAcentral describes it as "partial 16S ribosomal RNA". It matches the Rfam family "Bacterial small subunit ribosomal RNA", at positions 29 to 507 of the family's 1533-position model. The record is from RNAcentral.